RNAcentral lists this long non-coding RNA (776 nucleotides) under Homo sapiens (human). RNAcentral's name for it is "non-protein coding lnc-GBE1-8:1". The record is from RNAcentral. Lineage: Eukaryota; Metazoa; Chordata; Mammalia; Primates; Hominidae.
AGAUGACAAAAGGAAAGAAGGCCAAGGGAAAGAAGGUGGGACUGACCCCUGGUGUCACGAAGAAGCAGGAGGCCAAGAAGGUGGUAAAUUCCGUGUUUGAGAAAAGUCUUAAGAAUUUUGCCAUUGGACAGCACAUCCAAACCAAACAAGACCUCACCUACUUUAUACAUCCAGUUGCAGCAGCAAUGAUCUAUCCUCUGUAAACGUGGGAAAGUGCCUCCUGCAAUUAACCUGUUCACCCAGGCCUUCGACCAGCUGUCAUUCUGCUGCUUAAGCUGGCCCACAAGUACAGACCAGAAACAAAGUGCUGGAAGAAGCAGAGACUGUUGGCCUGGGCUGAGAAGAAAGUUGCUGGCAAAGAGGAUGUCCCCACUAAGAGAUCACUUGUCCUUUGAGCAGGGGUUAACUGUCACCACCUUGGUAGAGACCAAGAAGUUUCAGCUUGUGAUGAUUGCACAUGACACAGAUCCCAUCGAGCCAGUUGUUUUCCUCUCUGCCUUGUGUUGUAAAAUGGGGGUCCAUUACCAAACUAUCACAGGGAAGGCAAGACUGUGACAUCUAAUGCACAGGAAGACCUGCACCACUGUCAUCUUCACAUAGGUUAACUGAAAAGAAAAAGGAGCUUUGGCUAAGCUAAUGGAAGCUAUCAGGACCAAUUACAAUGACAGAUAUGAUGAAAUCUGCCAUCACAGCGGAGGCAAGGUCCCGAGCUCUAAAUCUGUGGCCCACACUGGUGCUGGAAAAGGCAAGGACUAAAAAAAUUUGCCACUACAAAC